RNAcentral lists this ribosomal RNA (497 nucleotides) under uncultured bacterium. RNAcentral describes it as "partial 16S ribosomal RNA". It matches the Rfam family "Bacterial small subunit ribosomal RNA", at positions 28 to 507 of the family's 1533-position model. The record is from RNAcentral.
GAUGAACGCUGGCGGCGUGCCUAAUACAUGCAAGUCGAGCGAACAGACGAGGAGCUUGCUCCUCUGACGUUAGCGGCGGACGGGUGAGUAACACGUGGAUAACCUACCUAUAAGACUGGGAUAACUUCGGGAAACCGGAGCUAAUACCGGAUAAUAUAUUGAACCGCAUGGUUCAAUAGUGAAAGACGGUUUUGCUGUCACUUAUAGAUGGAUCCGCGCCGCAUUAGCUAGUUGGUAAGGUAACGGCUUACCAAGGCAACGAUGCGUAGCCGACCUGAGAGGAUGAUCGGCCACACUGGAACUGAGACACGGUCCAGACUCCUACGGGAGGCAGCAGUAGGGAAUCUUCCGCAAUGGGCGAAAGCGUGACGGAGCAACGCCGCGUGAGUGAUGAAGGUCUUCGGAUCGUAAAACUCUGUUAUUAGGGAAGAACAAAUGUGUAAGUAACUAUGCACGUCUUGACGGUACCUAAUCAGAAAGCCACGGCUAACUACGUG